This 614-nucleotide ribosomal RNA is filed under the name Meyerozyma guilliermondii. RNAcentral describes it as "eukaryotic LSU rRNA". It matches the Rfam family "Eukaryotic large subunit ribosomal RNA", at positions 37 to 664 of the family's 3401-position model. The record is from RNAcentral. Lineage: Eukaryota; Fungi; Ascomycota; Pichiomycetes; Serinales; Debaryomycetaceae.
UUCAUAUCCAAAUAAGCGGAGGAAAAGAAACCAACAGGGAUUGCCUUAGUAGCGGCGAGUGAAGCGGCAAAAGCUCAAAUUUGAAAUCUGGCGCCUUCGGUGUCCGAGUUGUAAUUUGAAGAUUGUAACCUUGGGGUUGGCUCUUGUCUAUGUUUCUUGGAACAGGACGUCACAGAGGGUGAGAAUCCCGUGCGAUGAGAUGCCCAAUUCUAUGUAAGGUGCUUUCGAAGAGUCGAGUUGUUUGGGAAUGCAGCUCUAAGUGGGUGGUAAAUUCCAUCUAAAGCUAAAUAUUGGCGAGAGACCGAUAGCGAACAAGUACAGUGAUGGAAAGAUGAAAAGAACUUUGAAAAGAGAGUGAAAAAGUACGUGAAAUUGUUGAAAGGGAAGGGUUUGAGAUCAGACUCGAUAUUUUGUGAGCCUUGCCUUCGUGGCGGGGUGACCCGCAGCUUAUCGGGCCAGCAUCGGUUUGGGCGGUAGGAUAAUGGCGUAGGAAUGUGACUUUACUUCGGUGAAGUGUUAUAGCCUGCGUUGAUGCUGCCUGCCUAGACCGAGGACUGCGAUUUUAUCAAGGAUGCUGGCAUAAUGAUCCCAAACCGCCCGUCUUGAACCAACGG